This 396-nucleotide unclassified non-coding RNA is filed under the name soil metagenome. Its description in RNAcentral is "partial contains 5.8S ribosomal RNA, internal transcribed spacer 2, and large subunit ribosomal RNA". The stretch from base 2 to 122 matches the Rfam family "5.8S ribosomal RNA", at positions 36 to 154 of the family's 154-position model. The record is from RNAcentral.
UAUGAAGAACGUAGCGAAAUGCGAUACUUGGUGUGAAUUGCAGAAUCCCGUGAACCAUCGAGUCUUUGAACGCAAGUUGCGCCCGAAGCCAUUAGGCCGAGGGCACGCCUGCCUGGGUGUCACACACCGUUACCCUCGCGCCAACGUCCAUCGUUGGCCGCGGCGCGGGGCGUGCGCUGACCUCCCGCGAGCGGGGUCUCGUGGUUGGUUGAAAAUCGAGUUCGCGGUCGAGGGUGCCGUGAUGAAAUGGUGGAUGGGCGACGCCCGAGGCCAAUCACGCGCGACUCUGUCCGGCCCGGACUCCUGGACCCCUUCGGCGUCUCCGGACGCUCUUUGGCGAGACCUCAGGUCAGGCGGGGCUACCCGCUGAGUUUAAGCAUAUCAAUAAGCGGAGGA